This is a long non-coding RNA of Tachysurus fulvidraco (yellow catfish), 1714 nucleotides long. RefSeq lists it as uncharacterized. The record is from RefSeq and is a predicted model, not a curated record. Lineage: Eukaryota; Metazoa; Chordata; Actinopteri; Siluriformes; Bagridae. The transcript has 3 exons.
GAUGAAUGCAAAUGGAGUUUGUGGUUUUUUACAGUUUAAGGUAAACAAAUCCAAAGCAACUAACAGUCAGUUGAUCGGCACACAUCAAUAUGCAGGUAAAAUUCUAAAUCAUAAAUGACAUGCAGAACAAAGUCAAUACCAGAAGAAGAAUACAAGGAAAUAUAGUCUUGGGGGCACUCUGUUGUUCUCUGGUGACUACAGAAGAGCAGACAGAAGGGGAGGAGUGCCUUGUGCAUGAGCUACUAGAAGCCGGCCAACCCUGUGAGGAUUCUGAGGCAUCUACAGACAUACCAGCUUCGGUUGGAUUUUGCUUCAUGAAGAUUUCAGACAUUGAAGAGAACUUGCCAAACCCAUGAGGACUUUGAGGAGAACAAACUUUUAAUCAAUACACAUUCUACAUAUGCUUUUUCUCCAUCAUUGAGCAUUUGAAGGCUUUGUCAUGGAGGAGUUAGUGUUGAACUUAUAAUGAACUCAGAUGAUGAGAUAAUGCAUGAGUUGCUCAGGAGGUCCUGAUUACACAGGACCUCCUGAGUGACUGUAUAUGACUGUAGAAAGGACAUUAUUUAUAAUAACACUCUCCGGUGUUUAUAAUAAUUUAUAUUCACACUAUCUGGUGUAACCCAAAUGAGGACGGGUUCCCUUUUGAGUCUGGUUCCUCUCAAAGUUUCUCCCUCAUACCAUUUAUGGAAGUUUUAACUUGUCGCAGUCACCUCAGGCUUGCUCAUUGAGGAUAAAUAGUGAUAAAUGAAAAUAAAUUUACACAAACCUUUUAUGUUCUUUAAAGCUCCUUUAAGACAAUAUCCAUUGUUAAAAGCACUAUACAAAUAAUAUUAAAUUAAACUGAAGGUAAUUGUACUGACACCAUAUGUAUGUGCACCAAACCUGCAUGUUUAUUUGUUUCCUUGAUAAAAAAAAAAACUUUUCAUAGUCUUUAAAUGUAGAUGAACUAAUUACACUUUUAAAAUAUCUGAGCUCUAGUCACACACUCUCAUGAACAUGACAUUUGGCUGCUAGAGUAAAAUAGCUGCUGUAAUUGCAGGUCAUGUGUCACUAAAGACAGUACAAAAUCCUAGGUGUGAUUACAGUGCUUUCAUGCAGCAGAUAAGAGACCUGAUGCAAGAGUAAAAUAUUUUGUGAUUGUUUUAAUUAGAUGUGGAAAGGUAUUUCCCAGUCCAGGAAGUUCUUUCUGAACUUCAAGGCAAGAGAUCAGAUUUUGCAAUCAUGAAUCCUUUCUAGGUUAAAAAAGAAACCAAAAUACCAGCAAAGUUGCUCUAAGCUAAUGACUAAGCUUUGUUCUCAUGAAGACUAUAUUUAAAACAGUAUCACACCUCUUUGGUCUGGAAAUCUGAUUAAAUAGUUGAAUGGGGUGUCUUUAGGAAUUAGCUGGACCCAUCACAAAUAUGUGCAUGUUAAGAAGAGAUGCUACAGUAAUGACAUUAAAAUGGUUAAAGAGAGCGAUAAAGCAAAACUUGCAUAACAUUACACUAACACUGAACUGAAAUAGAAAUUGUAAACCAUUUCAACUAAUAAACUGGAGAAUGAAUAGUCAAACUUUUCAAAAUGUCUAUAAAGAGCAUAGAUUUCCUAAUAAUCACUACCCAUCCUAAGUUGUGUGGGAUUUCCCCUACCUGAACAUGUACCAUAUUCAAUACUUCCUCUUUCACAGUGACAGAUAUGUAUGAUAUGUCUCAACAUCACUUUUUGCUGAAUUCAC